Molecule: ribosomal RNA, 465 nt
Filed under: uncultured bacterium
Lineage: Bacteria
Description: partial 16S ribosomal RNA
Rfam family: Bacterial small subunit ribosomal RNA
Source: RNAcentral
GACGAACGCUGGCGGCGUGCUUAACACAUGCGAGUCGUACGGUAAGGCCCUUUCGGGGGUACACGAGUGGCGAACGGGUGAGUAACACGUGAGUAACCUGCCCACAACUUUGGGAUAACGCUAGGAAACUGGUGCUAAUACUGGAUAUGUGCCCCUGCUGCAUGGUGGGGGUUGGAAAGCUCCGGCGGUUGUGGAUGGACUCGCGGCCUAUCAGCUUGUUGGUGGGGUAGUGGCCUACCAAGGCGGCGACGGGUAGCCGGCCUGAGAGGGUGACCGGCCACAUUGGGACUGAGAUACGGCCCAGACUCCUACGGGAGGCAGCAGUGGGGAAUAUUGCACAAUGGGCGCAAGCCUGAUGCAGCAACGCCGCGUGCAGGAUGACGGCCUUCGGGUUGUAAACCGCUUUCAGCAGGGACGAAGCUUUUUGUGACGGUACCUGCAGAAGAAGCACCGGCUAACUACGUG